AUACUGAUGAAUAUAAAGGUUUUCGGUUUUGACUAAAGAUCGUGGUUUCAGCAAGAUCCGUAUUAACAACUUAUUACCUAAACUCAUUCCCGAUUUUAUUUUUGUUUUUGGCUCACAAUAAGGUGAGGUCAGUUUCUUUCAAAAAAUCCACAUUAUCACUUACAAUAAAUUUAAAUUAAGCUAACAAUUAACUCGAAGCAUGAGAAAUACAUUUAUUUCGAUUGAUUGCAUUGCCUCAAGAAAGGCGCGUCCAUUCGCUCCACUCUUUGUCACUCUAUACUGUCCGAUUCCAUUCACAUGACUUCAUUUCCUCUCCACCCCGUCCAGCUACAAGCAAGUCAGCAAUCGUUUAUUAUCAUUUCGGCUUGUCGUCGAGCACGUUUGACCGUCUGCUAUUGCGAUUGCGACUGCGUCUGCGACCUGCCUUGCCAUAUCUGUCCGUCUGUCAGACAACAUCAAUCAACUCGAGACAAGACAUUCCACUCAACAACCGACGACAGCCGCAGCAGCACUCGCAGACGCAGCGGACGCGCUGAAGGCCAACCGAAGAUGCACUCGCGCACACUGUUUUGGCGCGCUAAGACGCUAUCAACUUCAGCUUUCAGCUUUUCGACAAUCGCUUAGGGACUCUUGGGGCUCUUGACGCAGUCUGUCUCCCCGUGUACACUUCAAUGUAACUUUAAAUUUCACAAUUUCUACUUCAUUACUUUUUCGAGUUCGAGAGCAUGGCAAGUACAUAAAAAUAAAAUUACGCCUACAACAACAAGUCACUGCUCAAGGCAAGUCUAUUACUGACACCGUCUGCGUCACUGUCGCUCAAUGCGCACACAUUUCAGCCUCAAUUCACUUAAGCGAGUCGUGCAGACUGACUGCGCUGUAAGUAUGCACCAAUUCCCAAAUCAACUGUCUCGACGCAAAGCGGUGUAGUCGCAUCUUCGGACCCCAAGUGCAGACGAUCAGACAACAACCUGGAAAACGUACGCAUUUCAUGCCAGAGGCAACAAUGCAACAAUAAUAACAAGUACAAAGAGGUUCGCGCAUCCGGACACAAUGUGGCCGGCUAAAAGACUAUAAUUUCGUGUAAUUGUUUUUGUUUUUCCACAAUUUUUUCCUUUCAUUUUUUUGUCAAGUACAAUUUCGCAAGCUGGGGUUGAGCUCUCCGACUGCUUGUCUCGCCGGCUGAUGUCUGUCACUGAUGACAUUGGUCCAGCGGUACAAACACAUCCACCCCUGUAGGUGUGUUGUUGGUGUCUGGAACAGUUGUCUGGCGUUGGAGUUGGCGGUGGAGUUGGCGGUGGAGUUGGCGGUGGAUCGGUAAUGACGCUAUGGUGGUGGCUUGCAGCGAGGGUGUCUGCGCUGCAGUCUAAAAUUCGCCGUUGCAAUGCACUUUUUCGCCUUUGCCAGCGGCCUAUCAAUUUUUGACGAGACAAUCUCGCGUGGUGUGCAACAAUAGCAACAAGAACAAUAAUAACGGACGACCGAAAAAUAUAGGCAGGCGCAAACAGUGCAGUUUGUCUGUCCAUCAGGCGAACUCAGCUCAGACGAAGUUGCACCGCAGCAACCAACAGUCAGCCAACAGUUGUUGCUGUCGUAGUUGUUAUUGUUGUCGCUGGUUUUUGCUGCCUGUCUGUGCAUAAAAUUACGAUAAGCCGCGUCAGUGUCUGCGUCUACAACCGCGACAGUCGGUUUGUACGACUGAGCCCGUUGUUGACCAUUGGACUUGGUCGCGGCAACAGUAAGUGACAAAAGUUUGUAUUUCCAUUCGUCUAUUUCUACGACAUUAAAGCUUGCUGGCUGUCGGCGGCACGUACUUUCAAAGAAUUCGUGAAGAGCUGAACUAGAUCAAAUGGCUUCAAAAAUUAUGAAAUGGCGAAUUUAAUAUUGAUUUAAUGGGAGAAUAACAUCUUUCUAUUGAGAAUAGUAUACGAUUAGCAUAUUUUUUCAGUUUUGGUGGGUGUUUAGAAACGACAUGAGAAACAUUAA
Long non-coding RNA from Zeugodacus cucurbitae (melon fly), 1983 nucleotides. RefSeq lists it as uncharacterized. NCBI's taxonomy places the organism in Eukaryota, Metazoa, Arthropoda, Insecta, Diptera, Tephritidae. The record is from RefSeq and is a predicted model, not a curated record. The transcript is spliced from 3 exons.